UUAAGCGACUAAGCGUACACGGUGGAUGCCCUGGCAGUCAGAGGCGAUGAAGGACGUGCUAAUCUGCGAUAAGCGUCGGUAAGGUGAUAUGAACCGUUAUAACCGGCGAUUUCCGAAUGGGGAAACCCAGUGUGAUUCGUCACACUAUCAUUAACUGAAUCCAUAGGUUAAUGAGGCGAACCGGGGGAACUGAAACAUCUAAGUACCCCGAGGAAAAGAAAUCAACCGAGAUUCCCCCAGUAGCGGCGAGCGAACGGGGAGGAGCCCAGAGCCUGAAUCAGUGUGUGUGUUAGUGGAAGCGUCUGGAAAGGCGCGCGAUACAGGGUGACAGCCCCGUACACAAAAAUGCACAUGCUGUGAGCUCGAUGAGUAGGGCGGGACACGUGGUAUCCUGUCUGAAUAUGGGGGGACCAUCCUCCAAGGCUAAAUACUCCUGACUGACCGAUAGUGAACCAGUACCGUGAGGGAAAGGCGAAAAGAACCCCGGCGAGGGGAGUGAAAAAGAACCUGAAACCGUGUACGUACAAGCAGUGGGAGCCUCUUUAUGGGGUGACUGCGUACCUUUUGUAUAAUGGGUCAGCGACUUAUAUUCUGUAGCAAGGUUAACCGAAUAGGGGAGCCGAAGGGAAACCGAGUCUUAACUGGGCGUUAAGUUGCAGGGUAUAGACCCGAAACCCGGUGAUCUAGCCAUGGGCAGGUUGAAGGUUGGGUAACACUAACUGGAGGACCGAACCGACUAAUGUUGAAAAAUUAGCGGAUGACUUGUGGCUGGGGGUGAAAGGCCAAUCAAACCGGGAGAUAGCUGGUUCUCCCCGAAAGCUAUUUAGGUAGCGCCUCGUGAACUCAUCUCCGGGGGUAGAGCACUGUUUCGGCAAGGGGGUCAUCCCGACUUACCAACCCGAUGCAAACUGCGAAUACCGGAGAAUGUUAUCACGGGAGACACACGGCGGGUGCUAACGUCCGUCGUGAAGAGGGAAACAACCCAGACCGCCAGCUAAGGUCCCAAAGUCAUGGUUAAGUGGGAAACGAUGUGGGAAGGCCCAGACAGCCAGGAUGUUGGCUUAGAAGCAGCCAUCAUUUAAAGAAAGCGUAAUAGCUCACUGGUCGAGUCGGCCUGCGCGGAAGAUGUAACGGGGCUAAACCAUGCACCGAAGCUGCGGCAGCGACGCUUAUGCGUUGUUGGGUAGGGGAGCGUUCUGUAAGCCUGUGAAGGUGUGCUGUGAGGCAUGCUGGAGGUAUCAGAAGUGCGAAUGCUGACAUAAGUAACGAUAAAGCGGGUGAAAAGCCCGCUCGCCGGAAGACCAAGGGUUCCUGUCCAACGUUAAUCGGGGCAGGGUGAGUCGACCCCUAAGGCGAGGCCGAAAGGCGUAGUCGAUGGGAAACAGGUUAAUAUUCCUGUACUUGGUGUUACUGCGAAGGGGGGACGGAGAAGGCUAUGUUGGCCGGGCGACGGUUGUCCCGGUUUAAGCGUGUAGGCUGGUUUUCCAGGCAAAUCCGGAAAAUCAAGGCUGAGGCGUGAUGACGAGGCACUACGGUGCUGAAGCAACAAAUGCCCUGCUUCCAGGAAAAGCCUCUAAGCAUCAGGUAACAUCAAAUCGUACCCCAAACCGACACAGGUGGUCAGGUAGAGAAUACCAAGGCGCUUGAGAGAACUCGGGUGAAGGAACUAGGCAAAAUGGUGCCGUAACUUCGGGAGAAGGCACGCUGAUAUGUAGGUGAAGUCCCUCGCGGAUGGAGCUGAAAUCAGUCGAAGAUACCAGCUGGCUGCAACUGUUUAUUAAAAACACAGCACUGUGCAAACACGAAAGUGGACGUAUACGGUGUGACGCCUGCCCGGUGCCGGAAGGUUAAUUGAUGGGGUCAGCGCAAGCGAAGCUCUUGAUCGAAGCCCCGGUAAACGGCGGCCGUAACUAUAACGGUCCUAAGGUAGCGAAAUUCCUUGUCGGGUAAGUUCCGACCUGCACGAAUGGCGUAAUGAUGGCCAGGCUGUCUCCACCCGAGACUCAGUGAAAUUGAACUCGCUGUGAAGAUGCAGUGUACCCGCGGCAAGACGGAAAGACCCCGUGAACCUUUACUAUAGCUUGACACUGAACAUUGAGCCUUGAUGUGUAGGAUAGGUGGGAGGCUUAGAAGUGUGGACGCCAGUCUGCAUGGAGCCGACCUUGAAAUACCACCCUUUAAUGUUUGAUGUUCUAACGUUGACCCGUAAUCCGGGUUGCGGACAGUGUCUGGUGGGUAGUUUGACUGGGGCGGUCUCCUCCUAAAGAGUAACGGAGGAGCACGAAGGUUGGCUAAUCCUGGUCGGACAUCAGGAGGUUAGUGCAAUGGCAUAAGCCAGCUUGACUGCGAGCGUGACGGCGCGAGCAGGUGCGAAAGCAGGUCAUAGUGAUCCGGUGGUUCUGAAUGGAAGGGCCAUCGCUCAACGGAUAAAAGGUACUCCGGGGAUAACAGGCUGAUACCGCCCAAGAGUUCAUAUCGACGGCGGUGUUUGGCACCUCGAUGUCGGCUCAUCACAUCCUGGGGCUGAAGUAGGUCCCAAGGGUAUGGCUGUUCGCCAUUUAAAGUGGUACGCGAGCUGGGUUUAGAACGUCGUGAGACAGUUCGGUCCCUAUCUGCCGUGGGCGCUGGAGAACUGAGGGGGGCUGCUCCUAGUACGAGAGGACCGGAGUGGACGCAUCACUGGUGUUCGGGUUGUCAUGCCAAUGGCACUGCCCGGUAGCUAAAUGCGGAAGAGAUAAGUGCUGAAAGCAUCUAAGCACGAAACUUGCCCCGAGAUGAGUUCUCCCUGACUCCUUGAGAGUCCUGAAGGAACGUUGAAGACGACGACGUUGAUAGGCCGGGUGUGUAAGCGCAGCGAUGCGUUGAGCUAACCGGUACUAAUGAACCGUGAGGCUUAACCUU
Molecule: ribosomal RNA, 2901 nt
Filed under: Escherichia coli
Lineage: Bacteria; Pseudomonadati; Pseudomonadota; Gammaproteobacteria; Enterobacterales; Enterobacteriaceae
Description: bacterial LSU rRNA
Rfam family: Bacterial large subunit ribosomal RNA
Source: RNAcentral